CAACGGGCAAGUCUAGUCGACAAUUCGCGAUAGAACUAACCUACCGCAACAUUUAACCCACAUUCCGAUUGGCAAAACAAACAUCGAUGCGUUGCAGUGUGGCACACGUACACUUCCCGAACCGACAUCCAGAACGCUCCCGGGAACUUUGAGGAAUUUUACUACGAUUUGGACUACUUGCAAAAUACUUCCUCUCUAACUCCGGGAACUCCUUUUUUUCGCUCACAACUGAUGAAGAUGGCCGCAGUGAUUGCAGUUGCCGCCGAUGAAGUUGAACCACCACUGGUGCACUCACCACUCAUCAUUGUUGCACUUUGCCAAGGAUUUCCGUGUUUAUAUUUGGCGGAUUCAGCAGUGUAGUGUAGCUCCUGCGUUUCACUUGUUUUCGGAAUUGCACACCACCAGCAGGAGGACUUUUUGCACACUAUUUGCUAGCGGGGCUGUCGCUUGUAUUCCUUUUUUAACGACUAAUAAUAUUCACAUGCGCUAGAAAAUGUCCGUUGAACUUCACAUUUUUUUUCGCUGCGAACCAGUCGACGAC
Long non-coding RNA from Anopheles stephensi (Asian malaria mosquito), 541 nucleotides. RefSeq lists it as uncharacterized. The record is from RefSeq and is a predicted model, not a curated record. NCBI's taxonomy places the organism in Eukaryota, Metazoa, Arthropoda, Insecta, Diptera, Culicidae. The transcript is spliced from 4 exons.